RNAcentral lists this ribosomal RNA (254 nucleotides) under uncultured bacterium. RNAcentral's name for it is "partial 16S ribosomal RNA". It matches the Rfam family "Bacterial small subunit ribosomal RNA", at positions 524 to 776 of the family's 1533-position model. The record is from RNAcentral.
UACGGGGGGGGGCAAGCGUUGUUCGGAAUUACUGGGCGUAAAGGGCCAGUAGGCGGCCGACUAAGUCCGACGUGAAAUCCCCAGGCUUAACCUGGGAACUGCGUCGGAUACUGGAUGGCUUGAAUUCGGGAGAGGGAUGCAGAAUUCCAGGUGUAGCGGUGAAAUGCGUAGAUAUCUGGAGGAAUACCGGUGGCGAGGGCGGCAUCCUGGACCGACAUUGACGCUGAACGGCGAAAGCUAGGGGAGCAAACGGG